GCAUUUGCUUUCUUCUUUUGUGCUGCAGGUCAGGCAGCAUCUAGGCUCCCCUCUCCCUUUGUGCCAUGAAGGGUGUGAGCCCCACCGAAAUGCUUCUGCAGUACGACUGAUCAGGCCUUCCUCCCCCUCCCCGGCUCUGAGCACUCCUACAUCUCCUCCCAAAGCCACGGAGAAAAACUGAAGCUGAGCUGGCUCUUUGGUCCUGACCAGCUGGAGCAUGAUGGAGCUGGAGUCUUCACAGGGUUUCAGCCAGGUCCGCUGACAUUUGCAGUCGUUGGAUGCUGUCAUCGCUUUGGGAAACUGGAAAGCAAUGCUCGGUGAGGUAGCGGUUUCUGAAAAAUGGAAGAAAGGCCUUGGACAGAUCAAUAGGAUGCUGUAAUAUAUGUCUUAAA
RNAcentral lists this long non-coding RNA (392 nucleotides) under Struthio camelus australis. Its description in RNAcentral is "lncRNA (ENSSCUG00000005463.1)". The record is from RNAcentral. Lineage: Eukaryota; Metazoa; Chordata; Aves; Struthioniformes; Struthionidae.